RNAcentral lists this non-coding RNA (51 nucleotides) under Planctomycetota bacterium. Its description in RNAcentral is "Planctomycetes bacterium c-di-GMP sequence". It matches the Rfam family "c-di-GMP-I riboswitch aptamer", at positions 1 to 51 of the family's 87-position model. Rfam says of the family: GEMM was predicted in a large-scale screen for bacterial structured RNA regulatory elements. Genes associated with GEMM are involved in a diverse array of functions, including chemotaxis regulation, signal transduction, secretion and chitin. Lineage: Bacteria; Pseudomonadati; Planctomycetota. The record is from RNAcentral.
UACCGAUAAAGGCAAACCCUGAGCAAUCAGGGGACGCAAAGUAAAGGGUCU